ACUCCUACGGGAGGCAGCAGUGGGGAAUAUUGGACAAUGGGCGCAAGCCUGAUCCAGCCAUGCCGCGUGAGUGAUGAAGGCCCUAGGGUUGUAAAGCUCUUUCACCGGUGAAGAUAAUGACGGUAACCGGAGAAGAAGCCCCGGCUAACUUCGUGCCAGCAGCCGCGGUAAUACGAAGGGGGCUGGCGUUGUUCGGAUUUACUGGGCGUAAAGCGCACGUAGGCGGACUAUUAAGUCAGGGGUGAAAUCCCGGGGCUCAACCCCGGAACUGCCUUUGAUACUGGUAGUCUUGAGUUCGAGAGAGGUGAGUGGAAUUCCGAGUGUAGAGGUGAAAUUCGUAGAUAUUCGGAGGAACACCAGUGGCGAAGGCGGCUCACUGGCUCGAUACUGACGCUGAGGUGCGAAAGCGUGGGGAGCAAACAGGAUUAGAUACCCCGGUAGUCCCAUGAU
RNAcentral lists this ribosomal RNA (450 nucleotides) under uncultured organism. RNAcentral describes it as "partial 16S ribosomal RNA". It matches the Rfam family "Bacterial small subunit ribosomal RNA", at positions 335 to 801 of the family's 1533-position model. The record is from RNAcentral.